This 286-nucleotide ribosomal RNA is filed under the name uncultured bacterium. RNAcentral's name for it is "partial 16S ribosomal RNA". It matches the Rfam family "Bacterial small subunit ribosomal RNA", at positions 32 to 292 of the family's 1533-position model. The record is from RNAcentral.
AAUCAACGCUGGCGGCGUGCCUCAGACAUGCAAGUCGAACGCGAAAGGCUCCUUCGGGAGCCCGGUAGAGUGGCGCACGGGUGAGUAACACGUAGGUAAUUUGCCUUCGGGUGGGGAAGUAACUCAGGGAAACUUGAGCUAAUACCGCAUAAUGCAGCGGCUCGACAUCGAGACAGUUGUUAAAGCGGGGAGUCGCAAGACCUCCGCGCCUCGAAGAGAAGCCUGCGGCAGAUUAGCUAGUUGGUAGGGUAAGUAGGCCUACCAAGGCGACGAUCUGUAACCGGCC